RNAcentral lists this transfer RNA (73 nucleotides) under Marmota monax (woodchuck). Its description in RNAcentral is "tRNA.Undet". It matches the Rfam family "tRNA". From Rfam's summary of the family: Transfer RNA (tRNA) molecules are approximately 80 nucleotides in length. Their secondary structure includes four short double-helical elements and three loops (D, anti-codon, and T loops). The record is from RNAcentral. Lineage: Eukaryota; Metazoa; Chordata; Mammalia; Rodentia; Sciuridae.
UGUGGAGAUAGCUCAGUUGGUAGAGUGCUUGUCUUGAUGCACAAGAUUCUGGGUUCAAUCCCCAGCACCACAG